RNAcentral lists this ribosomal RNA (521 nucleotides) under uncultured bacterium. Its description in RNAcentral is "bacterial SSU rRNA". It matches the Rfam family "Bacterial small subunit ribosomal RNA", at positions 24 to 518 of the family's 1533-position model. The record is from RNAcentral.
UCAGGACGAACGCUGGCGGCGUGCCUAAUACAUGCAAGUCGAACGGUCUUUCUAUGGAAGCUUGCUUCCACUGAGAAGAUAGUGGCGAACGGGUGAGUAACACGUGGGUAACCUGCCCAUAAGAGGGGGAUAACAUCCGGAAACGGGUGCUAAUACCGCAUAGUUUUCUUGAUCGCAUGAUCGGGAAAGGAAAGACGGCCUUUGUGCUGUCGCUUAUGGAUGGACCCGCGGCGUAUUAGUUAGUUGGUGAGGUAACGGCUCACCAAGACGAUGAUACGUAGCCGACCUGAGAGGGUGAUCGGCCACAUUGGGACUGAGACACGGCCCAAACUCCUACGGGAGGCAGCAGUAGGGAAUCUUCCGCAAUGGACGAAAGUCUGACGGAGCAACGCCGCGUGAGUGAAGAAAGGUUUUCGGAUCGUAAAACUCUGUUGUCAGAGAAGAACAAGUUGGAGAGUAACUGCUCCAGCCUUGACGGUAUCUGACCAGAAAGCCACGGCUAACUACGUGCCAGCCGCAGC